This 612-nucleotide ribosomal RNA is filed under the name Acinetobacter sp. VKPM14. Its description in RNAcentral is "bacterial SSU rRNA". It matches the Rfam family "Bacterial small subunit ribosomal RNA", at positions 88 to 694 of the family's 1533-position model. The record is from RNAcentral. Lineage: Bacteria; Pseudomonadati; Pseudomonadota; Gammaproteobacteria; Moraxellales; Moraxellaceae.
UUACCUAGCGGCGGACGGGUGAGUAAUGCUUAGGAAUCUGCCUAUUAGUGGGGGACAACAUUCCGAAAGGAAUGCUAAUACCGCAUACGUCCUACGGGAGAAAGCAGGGGAUCUUCGGACCUUGCGCUAAUAGAUGAGCCUAAGUCGGAUUAGCUAGUUGGUGGGGUAAAGGCCUACCAAGGCGACGAUCUGUUGCGGGUCUGAGAGGAUGAUCCGCCACACUGGGACUGAGACACGGCCCAGACUCCUACGGGAGGCAGCAGUGGGGAAUAUUGGACAAUGGGCGGAAGCCUGAUCCAGCCAUGCCGCGUGUGUGAAGAAGGCCUUUUGGUUGUAAAGCACUUUAAGCGAGGAGGAGGCUUACCAAGCUCAUAUCUUGGAUAAGUGGACGUUACUCGCAGAAUAAGCACCGGCUAACUCUGUGCCAGCAGCCGCGGUAAUACAGAGGGUGCGAGCGUUAAUCGGAUUUACUGGGCUUAAAGCGUGCGUAGGCGGCUUAUUAAGUCGGAUGUGAAAUCCCCGAGCUUAACUUGGGAAUUGCAUUCGAUACUGGUGAGCUAGAGUAUGGGAGAGGAUGGGUAGAAUUCCAGGUGUAGCGGUGAAAUGCGUAGA